Molecule: long non-coding RNA, 2453 nt
Organism: Columba livia (rock pigeon)
Lineage: Eukaryota; Metazoa; Chordata; Aves; Columbiformes; Columbidae
Exons: 3
Source: RefSeq, a predicted model, not a curated record
CUGACUGCAGAUGUGGCUUUUCUUCUGUGUGCUUCAGGUUUACUCCUCAAUGCCCGGCAGAGUGCAAGUUUUCAGCUAUAGUGGCACUUGCAGGACAAGGAACACAGCUGUCUGAGUCUUGUCCUGGAGCAGCAUGAGGAGCACUGUCCUCCCUGGUGCCGCUACUUUCUAUGCUGGAAGGUAGCUUCUCUGUGGUGCAUUAAUGCACUUGUUAAACCUUUACAAAUUGAGCUUGUUUCACCAAAUGCUGGAAGGCUGAGGGGAGGCAUCUCCAUUUGCAGCUGAAACCAUCUCCUGACAGCUGGAUGUUCUCUCUGGGCUAAUGCUCUGCUCCUGGGUAGCCAGGUCCCUGCCAGCACAGCAGGAGACUAUGCAGCACUUGUCCCUUCAUGUGUGGCUUUUGGUCUGACAACCACUACAGUGAUACAGCCCCUAAUGUGGUCUCAUUGAUUGCUGGUAUCAAAUAUACUGGGAACUUGCUCAGAUUUCCUUGAUGGAUUUUUUGUAAUCAAGCCCAUCUCUUCAUCAAUCUGUUUUAAUCAAUUUUAUUGUCCGUAGGGAAGAGCUGUUUGUGGGCAGGUAUGACUUUAGUGAUAUUGAAGCAGCCUUGGAGCAUGAAUCAAAGGGAAGAAGAGAUCCUGAGUGUAGAGAAGCUUCUAUUCAUCCUACUAAAAUCUUAACAUUGUUUGGUAACAAAAUAUUUAAUGCACUUUUAUUUAAAGAAACAGCUCUGAAAUGAAAGCAAUAAACAGCUGCUGAUGGCUUAAUAGCUUAAGUGUAGUUGGGGCAUUCAAUCAAUCUGAAAAGCAGUUUAUUGUGUAUCUAUUUCCAAAUGGUGGAGGUUAUUGCUAUGAUACAUCUAACUAUAAUGGCAAUGGGAAAAAUAUAUCCUCUCCUGAGAGGUCUGAAAGGGCUCAGUGACCAGUUUGUUAGAUUCCCUGCUGAGUUCAGUCAUUUGUGGCUGUGCUUAAUAGCUGAGUAUGGCUAAAACCAAGAACUGACCAGUUUCUCAAAAAAGGUGGCUUGGAAACAAACUCAGGACUAAUGUGGGUGCAGGAAGGGAGAGGCAGCUUUGAUACCAGAUUCUGGAUGCUGCUGCCUCUCAUUGUUCCUGCAGCAGAGCUGCUUGGAAGAAAACACUCCUCACUGCAAUGCACCUUCUAUGGUGCUCACAGGCAUUGCCAGCUUAUCUCCUGAGGAAACAAAAUGUAGGCAACCAAGGGGACUUGUUGGAUAUAAUAUUCUAUUUUGCCUACAGCAAAAAUAGUUUGAAACCAGUAGCAUAUUCUAAGUCACUUUGGUGGUAGCCUAGAUGUGACUUCUGUAAUUCAUGUGGAAAUUUGCAGAUAAGACUGUAGAGAAAAUGUGUUGGUGACAGAAGGAGAGAAGUUUCCCUGUAGCUGUUGUUUGCUUGCCCAGGAGCACCAGUUUGAGUGAUGACCAGAUGGUCCAGCCUCCAGUGUAAGCAGCCUUGCAUUGACCCGUGAGGAAGCCAAACCUGGUGCUUGGAGCUGGCAGUGCUGCUCUGGGAGAGGAAGGGAUGGAAGGGAGAGACGAGAGCCCCUUGCAGGAGCUGAGGACACCAGGGUGUUCCUGGUGAGAAGCACUGGGGUACCUGGCAGGAGCAUCUCAUCAGGAGCCAAGCUGUACCAGUCCUGCUGCCAGUGGAGCUGCUCCUUGCUUUGGUUUCACUGCCUGCUGCUCUACACAGCACUGCCUACUCUCUGAACACCUGGGAGCUCAUUUGCAUCUACAAGUAUAACCUUUCUUCAGACAGAGGUUAAAAUAGUAAGUUGAAAUAUAUGUGGGCAGAUACUUUCUUGUUUGGUUUCAAACUGAUAUAAGUGUAGAGCUAUUCCUUAACUCUAUGGUUUGUAAAUUUGACCUUCACCUUGACAGUUCACUCUAGCACAUGUGAAAGUGGUUCAUUUUAACCUGGCUAUCUCUAAUUGCACUACAGUUAUUCUGUUAAUAGUUUUGUAAUUAUCAAAAUCCAUUUGCUGUAUCUAUCUUUGAUUGCCUCCAGGGACUACUAUAAUCAGGAACAUCAAACCAGUUUCUGGUGGGGAUAAAUUUCUGUUCACAAGAACUGGAAAUAUUUGCCAUCUUGGGCAACCCAGUAUCAGCAGACAAUUUUAGUGCUUCUGUAUUCACAAAAAGCAAAGCAGUGUUUGAAGGAAAGAAGUUGAAGCUAUGGAUGCCUGAAAGAUCUAGGACAAUUCACACUUGUCUGAGCACAGCAUAUCCUAGUCACAGAAAUCUCCUUUUGAUCUGUACUAUCUGGACCAAAUUGCUGGAGGAAAUAAUAAAACUUUUGUGCUUUCCUGGUCUAUAUAUCACUGCUAUUGGUUGUUUCUGAGAUGCAAAAUUGUUGCACACCUCUAGAGAACAUUUUGUUGGCUCAGCCCCAGGGCAAAGUACUUCAAAUGCAGCUGUAAGUGCCUUAAAUAAGU